CCUUCGGGUGGCAGCAGUGGGGAAUAUUGCACAAUGGGGGAAACCCUGAUGCAGCACCGCCGCUUGCGUUCCUCCUUCUUUCUUUCUUUCCCUCUCUCUCCUCCUUUCCUCCCAAAUACUGUACCUGACUACGAAGCCCCGGCUAACUACGUGCCAGUAGCCGCGGUAAUACGUAGGUGGCAAGCGUUAUCCGGAUUUACUGGGUGUAAAGGGAGCGUAGACGGCUGUGCAAGUGUGCAGUGAAGGCCCAGGGCUCAACCCUGGGACUGAUGGGGAAACUGGGGAGCUAGAGUGCUGGAGAGGUAAGUGGAAGUCCUGGUGUAGCGGUGAAAUGCGUAGAUAUUAGGAGGAACACCAGUGGCGAAGGCGGCUUACUGGACAGUAACUGACGUUGAGGCUCGAAAGCGUGGGGAGCAAACAGGAUGAGAGAAAAAGGGAGUC
Molecule: ribosomal RNA, 441 nt
Filed under: uncultured bacterium
Lineage: Bacteria
Description: partial 16S ribosomal RNA
Rfam family: Bacterial small subunit ribosomal RNA
Source: RNAcentral